RNAcentral lists this ribosomal RNA (373 nucleotides) under uncultured organism. RNAcentral's name for it is "partial 16S ribosomal RNA". It matches the Rfam family "Bacterial small subunit ribosomal RNA", at positions 527 to 896 of the family's 1533-position model. The record is from RNAcentral.
GUAGGUGGCAAGCGUUGUCCGGAAUUAUUGGGCGUAAAGCGCGCGCAGGGUGGUUCCUUAAGUCUGAUGUGAAAGCCCCCGGGCUCAACCGGGGAGGGUCAUUGGAAACUGGGGAACUUGAGUGCAGGAGAGGAAAGUGGAAUUCCACGUGUAGCGGUGAAAUGCGUAGAUAUGUGGAGGAACACCAGUGGCGAAGGCGACUUUCUGGCCUGUAACUGACACUGAGGCGCGAAAGCGUGGGGAGCAAACAGGAUUAGAUACCCUGGUAGUCCACGCCGUAAACGAUGAGUGCUAAGUGUUGGGGGGUUUCCGCCCCUCAGUGCUGCAGCUAACGCAUUAAGCACUCCGCCUGGGGAGUACGGUCGCAAGACUG